Molecule: ribosomal RNA, 574 nt
Filed under: Trichoderma sp. BLE9
Lineage: Eukaryota; Fungi; Ascomycota; Sordariomycetes; Hypocreales; Hypocreaceae
Description: LSU rRNA
Rfam family: Eukaryotic large subunit ribosomal RNA
Source: RNAcentral
CAACAGGGAUUGCCCCAGUAACGGCGAGUGAAGCGGCAACAGCUCAAAUUUGAAAUCUGGCCCCUAGGGUCCGAGUUGUAAUUUGUAGAGGAUGCUUUUGGUGAGGUGCCGCCCGAGUUCCCUGGAACGGGACGCCGCAGAGGGUGAGAGCCCCGUCUGGCUGGCCACCGAGCCUAUGUAAAGCUCCUUCGACGAGUCGAGUAGUUUGGGAAUGCUGCUCAAAAUGGGAGGUAUAUGUCUUCUAAAGCUAAAUAUUGGCCAGAGACCGAUAGCGCACAAGUAGAGUGAUCGAAAGAUGAAAAGCACCUUGAAAAGAGGGUUAAACAGUACGUGAAAUUGUUGAAAGGGAAGCGCUUGUGACCAGACUUGGGCGCGGCGGAUCAUCCGGGGUUCUCCCCGGUGCACUUCGCCGCGUUCAGGCCAGCAUCAGUUCGGCGCGGGGGAAAAAGGCUUCGGGAACGUGGCUCCUCCGGGAGUGUUAUAGCCCGUUGCAUAAUACCCUGCGCUGGACUGAGGACCGCGCAUCUGCAAGGAUGCUGGCGUAAUGGUCACCAGCGACCCGUCUUGAAACACG